GUUCUAUAUAGCGCUUCAGUGAGUGGGGGACUGUAUAACCCUGUGACAUAGCGUUCGCUCUAGCUCCACCUUGCUCUCCCUAAGUGAGAGAGGUCCGCACUUUUGCAGACAGUCCAACAACAAGUUCGAGGGGUUUACGAGCUUAGAAACAUUUUCGGAAUUUGCCGUUAUUCCUAUUAAGACACUUUAUGUCGGUGUUUCCUUUUUUUUUGUAAUUACCUGUAUCUCCUAACUUGGCUCUUUUACUAUAGCGAUGCUUUGAUGACUUGUGAUUAGCCGACAACAACAGCGAGCUUCACGCACCACUUUCGUGAAAAGCAAGAGCAGCAGCAUCAAUUGUACAAUUUUCACUUUCUCUCCACAACACCAGUCGCGUUCGGGUGUGUACGGGUCCUUACGGGCAAAUCGGUUAUAAUUACAAAUACCCGAGACCCAUGACAAUUAGGUCCAACCUGGCUUUUCGGGUACAGGUGGACAGGACAUUGGAGUCUUGGAGCCUUCAUCACGACUCUGAUUAUUUUACUGCUAGUCAUCUUUACUGUCAUUGGACUUUUCAUCUGGAACAAAAAACAGGACCUGAGCCCUAGGACAAUGCCCCAGGACUUCCUGGCCUGAUGACUCCUG
Molecule: long non-coding RNA, 624 nt
Organism: Salvelinus namaycush (lake trout)
Lineage: Eukaryota; Metazoa; Chordata; Actinopteri; Salmoniformes; Salmonidae
Exons: 3
Source: RefSeq, a predicted model, not a curated record